Long non-coding RNA from Limanda limanda (common dab), 291 nucleotides. RefSeq lists it as uncharacterized. The record is from RefSeq and is a predicted model, not a curated record. Lineage: Eukaryota; Metazoa; Chordata; Actinopteri; Pleuronectiformes; Pleuronectidae. The transcript has 3 exons.
ACAUGAGUAUGCUCGCACAAAAACAUUGUCAGAUGUCAGAAGACGUGACCUAGUGAAGAUACUAGUUGCACAUCUGACAAAUGAGCAUGGCACAAGCCCCCCUAGGAGAUUGAAGGAGGAAUACGCCAAAGGAAUCAUCUGCCUUUUUCCUUACUUGGCUGACCCCCGGAGCAAGCUUGGCUAUGAACAUUUUUAUAAUGCUGAAGAUGGAAGUGGGUAUUUGGCUUGGAGAAUCAAAACUCUGCAGAAAGAGGUGUCCGAGGGGCGAAUGAAACGGCCACGACAACUUCA